Mauremys mutica (yellowpond turtle) is the source of this 6552-nucleotide RNA transcript. It is a transcript of the gene named Scm like with four mbt domains 1, with no coding region annotated. The transcript has 23 exons. NCBI's taxonomy places the organism in Eukaryota, Metazoa, Chordata, Testudines, Geoemydidae. The record is from RefSeq and is a predicted model, not a curated record.
UAUUGGAAUGAGGCGGCGAGCGGAGCGCCGGAGAGCCCGAGCCCCGGCAGCUAGCGGCGCAGGGCUGGAAAAACUCGCCGCAGCUCCUAAAGUGACAGAAGACCAGCAUUGCUGAAUCCCUUGAAGACUUAUGAAAGUGUUCUUGCUUGAACUCCCUGGAUGUCUGUAGAAGCAAAGGUGGGAAACAGCACAUGAGCAGCAGACAGUGACAGGGUUGGCUCCCAAGACUUCCUGCUACUGCGCAUUACUGCUGGAUUGCUGUGGAAAUGAAUGGAGAACAGCAGCAUGAUGCAGAUGCUGGGUCUGGUGUGGAAGAAGCAGAAUUCAAUUGGGAUGAGUAUCUAGAAGACACUGGAGCAACUGCAGCCCCCCAUGGGUCUUUUAAACACGUGGACACUAGUUUGCAGAAUGGCUUUGCCCCUGGUAUGAAGCUGGAGGUUGCUAUCAAGUCUGACCACAAUACCUACUGGGUAGCCACCAUCAUCACUACCUGUGGGCAGUUGCUCCUAUUACGCUACGAUGGCUAUGGGGAAGACCGCAAGGCAGACUUUUGGUGCGACAUCAUGACAGCUGACUUACAUCCAGUUGGUUGGUGUGAGCAGAACAAAAAGAUUCUCAAAGUGCCUGAAGGUAUCAAGGAUAAGAUAUCUGACCAGGAAGAAUUCCUUCGACAGACACUGACAGGAGCAUGCAGUGCUCCUGCUAACCUGCUAGAGGGUCUUCACAGAGGGAAGAAUCCCUUGGAUCUCAUUGCACCAGGCUCCAGACUGGAAUGUCAAAACUCCCAAGAUUCCUUGGCAGCCUGGAUUGUCAAGGUGGUUGAAAAUGUUGGUGGGAGGCUCAAAUUGCGCUAUGAAGGGUUGGUAGAUUCUGACCAGUCUGAUCAGUGGAUGUUCUACUUGGAUCCAUUUCUUCAUCAAAUGGGAUGGGCAACUCAACAGGGAUAUGACCUCCAACCUCCAGCAGCUAUCCGGUCCCUGAAGAGUGAGGCAGAAUGGCAGGACAUCUUGACAAAGGUGAAAGAGGAAGAAGAUGGGUCCUCAGUACCCACCGAUCUCUUUAAGGACAAGCCAGUGAUUGGAGUGCAUUCAUUCACUGCGAGCAUGAAGUUAGAGGCUGUGGAUCCAGUAGCACCUUUUGUCCUCUCUCCUGCUACAGUUGUUAAGGUGUUCAAUGAAAAAUAUUUCUUGGUACAAAUUGAUGACUUACGACCAGAAUGCACAACCAGCCGGUCAUACAUUUGUCAUGUCAACAGUGCUGGUAUCUUUCCUGUGCAGUGGAGUCUGAAAAAUGGUUUGCAUCUCAGCCCUCCACCAGGUUAUCCCGGGCAGGACUUUGAUUGGGCGGACUACCUCAAACAGUGCGGUGCUGAGGCUGCUCCCCAGAGCUGCUUUCCUUUGCUAACUUCCAACCAUGGAUUUAAAGAGAACAUGAAGCUUGAGGCUGUGAACCCUGUUGAUCCAGGGGAAAUUUGCAUUGCCACAGUCACCAAAGUGAAAGAGUCCUACCUUUGGCUUCAGUUGGAGGGCUCCAAAAAGCCAGUUCCUGAAUGCAUAGUGAGUGUGGAAUCGAUGAAUAUAUUUCCAGUGGGUUGGUGUGAGACCAAUGGAUACCAGCUGAGACCUCCUCGCAGAGCUAUAGUGAACAAACAGAGGAAAAUUGCUGUGGUUCAACCAGAGAAACAAAUUUUGUCUUCAAGGGCUGUCCAUGAGAGGCUGAAGAACCAGGAACUGAAUUCCACUGACUCAGUUGUAAUUAAUGGAAAGUACUGCUGUCCAAAGAUCUACUUCAACCACCGGUGCUUCUCAGGACCUUACCUUAACAAAGGGAGAAUUGCAGAGCUGCCUCAGUCUGUGGGACCGGGGAACUGCGUUCUUGUCCUUAAAGAGGUUCUCACUUUAUUGAUCAACGCAGCCUACAAACCUAGCCGUGUCCUUCGAGAACUCCAGCUGGAUGAGGAUGCUGCCUGGCAUGGGCAUGGAGAGACCCUGAAAGCAAAGUACAAAGGGAAGAGUUACCGUGCCACUGUGGAGGUUGUGAGAACAGCAGAUCGGGUGGCAGAUUUCUGUAGAACAACCUGCAUCAAACUGGAAUGCUGUCCAAAUCUCUUUGGCCCACAGAUGGUGCUAGAUAAGUGUUCAGAGAACUGCUCUAUCCUGACAAAGACCAAAUACACGCACUAUUAUGGGAAGAGGAAAAACAAAAGGAUUGGCCGACCACCAGGUGGCCACAGUAAUCUGGAAGCAGGCAUGAAGAAAACAAGCAAGAGGAGGAAGAGACGAAAACACUUCUUUGUCCAUAAGAAAAAACGUUCUUCCACCUCAGUGGACAGCUCUCCAGUUGGCUCUCCCCAGGGCAGUGGGGGAGAGGAAGAGGAUGACCAGGAUGACAUAGAUGAAGAAUCAUUGAGUGAGGACAGCACCUCAGAGCAGCAAGAUGAACUGCUUGAAGAGUCAGAAGUGUCGGAGAAGAAAUCGCGGUCCUCCUCUCCCACGCAAAGUGAACUGUCCCACUGCCUGGCUCAGGAUCAAGACAAGCGGAAGAGGAAGCUCCGGACCUUUUCCUUCUCUGAUGAUGAAAAUAAACCCCCUUCACCAAAGGAACUAAAGAUUGAAGUUGCCGAAAAGCUGCAACUGGACAGUAACCCUCUGGAAUGGAGUGUGGCUGACGUCGUGCGGUUCCUUAAAUCCACAGACUGCGCCCCAUUAGCCAGAAUUUUCCUGGAUCAGGAAAUAGAUGGUCAGGCGCUUCUCCUGCUCACCCUCCCGACUGUUCAGGAGUGCAUGGAUUUGAAACUUGGGCCAGCCAUUAAACUUUGCCAUCACAUCGAAAGGGUCAAACUUGCUUUUUAUCAGCAGUUUGCUAACUGAGGGGUGGCCAAAUGGAAGUGGACCUUUGGAAGCACAACUGCAGCAACAUAUUCCUCCCUUUCUGGUGGGGAAAGCCAAAUGGGGUUAAACUGAGGCUCCAGUUCUGGUGACCUACAAACAUCGUUUCAGCCACAGUUUUGCACUUUGAGGGAAGGAAGACAACAUCUGGAGCAAAAUGUCAAUGCCAACAUAGCCGCUACCCUACCAGCUGGCUGCUAGCUUGGGAAGACAAGUCUCUCAUUCUUUUGAUCACGUCUUUUUUAACUUUUAAAAAAUGGUUACAGAAACAUUUCCUAUAAGGAGACAGACGUUUCAAGAGUUCUGGUGGUGCAGAAUUAAAAAAGACUUGACCAACAUGCAACAUCAGGCUGGACGAUCAUACAGAACAAGGUUUCCAAGGCCCUCUAUUAAGUGAAGGAAAAGCUGACUCCAAACUCUGUUGACAGCUCUAUAGCCAAGACUGCUGCAUUUCCCUCCUGAUAAAAAUGGGUGUGCUUAGGUAGAUGUCAGAAAAGUACAGAACUUAAACAUAGAGAGAGAUUUAACAAACUUUUUUAUCACAGAGUCAAGGAUUUUGUUUUAAAGUAUAAAUUUAAUACUCCAUUUGUCAGCUGCUUCAGAGGCCUGUGAAGUAGCUACAGGUCACCGUGGGCAUGUUUUAUAGGCUGAUUUUUCUGCCUCACUUUGGAAGGCAUUUGCAGUCUGGUCCCAAUGGGAUCCACUUUUAUUUGAGUUUUCAAAAGGGAUGUUUUCCAUUGUUUGUGCAUAAUGUUUCUAUGAUGCACACAUGUUCUUGUACACUUCACUUCCUGGGGAAAAUGCACUCUGUCUUUAUUGCUAGAUUUAAAGGGGAUAUUUGGGAUUGUCUAUGGAUGGUCUUUUCAUUUGAUACUGUUUUUUAAAAGAUCCUUUUCCAUCUACAAUACAAAGAGGUAUUUUGGCUUAUAUUUGUUGAUCUUACACUGACAUGACUUGAAAUAGACUCACGUGCUACUGUAGUUCCUUUGUUUCUGCAGAAUUAGAUAGCUUUGAGUAGCUUGUUGGGUGAAUCUUGGCAUUAGGCUAAUCAUAUCUUCAUCAGCAGGAAUUGCUGUGACCUGAACUGGCUUCAGGGAUUGUACUGUAUCCACUUGCCAUAAGUGUUGCAUGGGAGAUGGGCAAUGGUGUUUUGCACGUCUCUAGGGAAUCUUCACUACAGGAAAAUGAGCUCCUUAUUAGGUACCACUCGUAUAUACAGAGGUAAAGGAGGCUCUUCCAUGGCUGACCAGUUGAGGAGCACAGGAUUUACUUUUCCUGCCUCCCUCACUUCUUUUCAUAUUAUAAACUUGAGUGGCUGCAUUAUACAGUCUGAGAUUAGCACAUCAUAGCUUUAGAAAACUUUGGUGCUACCCGCAUAGCAUUUACUUACAGGGCUACAUUUAGCCAUGUUGAGCAAGCAGAUUUCAUUAGCGGGCUGGUGUAUUGUACACCAUGCACUAGAAGAAAAUGAGCCCAUAGCAGAGAGGUGCUUGGUCUCUAAAAAUGUGCAUGUUAUAACAUCCCCUGGAUGGCAAGUUAACAUGUCCUAUUUACUGUCAGGUUCAAGAGCCGCUUUUAGCCGACUCUCUCAAACAGGCCGAGAUGAAAGGAAAGAGACCCUUCCAAAAAGGAAAAGGUACAAGGCUGAUCAUACUGAUCUAAAGCUACUUGCAUUUUUUUAAAAUGCUAGAAAAAAAAUGAAAGUAGCUUUCUGGGGAACCAGGUAGAAAGCCAUUCGCAUUUGAGGAUGGUACAGAAUGCCAGUGAGCUUACUAGACCCUUAUGGAUUUGAUAAAGACUGCAUGUUCGAUGGGACUCAGGUGUAGUUUUUAGAUUUCUGCCUAUCACAACACUAAGAGUUCUCUGUUGUGGUGACAGACUUUGAUGCUCGAUUUCUUAUUCCCAAUUCUAAUGAUAUAUAGAGAGAAGAGAGGACUGUUAAGUUGCUAAGUUCAAAGCAAUAUAAAUAUAUUUAUUACUUGCAGGACUUAGCACUCCAUUUUUCCACAUGAUGUACAAAGAUUUCAUAUAUAUAACUAGAAUGAGGCUUGAUUGGCUUAUGAGAUCUUGAUGGCAGCCAAAUAGGUUCUGCAAACCCAUCAAAUUCUGCAGUUUAAGAUUGGCUAGGAAAUGGAUGCCUUCGCAAAUCCACCCCACUGUUGUGUUCAAGACAAAAGAGCAAGGCAAGUAUGUUGGCAAAAGAAAAGUCACUGGAUUAGGUAACCUUAUCAUAAAGCCAAAAAUAUACUAUACAUAGCUUCUUCCUAACCAGCUGCUGUAGGACUGGUUACUGCCCUACUGUGAGUUUUGAAUACAUUCACUAAGCACAAAGGCCCAGUCCUCAAAGGUAUUUAGGCUUCUAACUUCCAUUGAAAUGAGUGGAAGUUAGGAGGCUAAAUACCUUUGAGGAUCUGGACCAAUGUAACUGAGUAUGUCUGAAGACUUCUUAAAUGUUGGUUGAAAACUCCAUUUCAAAUUAAUGAUGUGCUGAGCCACAUUUUAGUGUGUUGCCUAACUUUUCCCAAAUCAUACAAAUAGCCUUGUUUUUGAAGGCAGCCUUAUGGGUGAAAGGUUAGAGUGGGUCUUGGAUACACUAAUUACGGUAUAAGCUUCAUUAUUGUAAUUUGCCUUUUUUUUAAUAUCAUAUUUGAAAACUGACCAGCAAAAAUGGAGUAUAAGAUUGGUAGGACGUCAGUAUCUCCAUGCUGGAUUCUAGCUCACCAUAAGUUGGAUCUGUCAAUGUGCUGAAGCAUAUCACACACGGCAGAUGGAAUUGUUUGAUUAGAAGACAAACAAGGUCUGUUUAGUCUCUCACCAAUGGUGAGAGGCUGAGCCCUAAGCCAUGGAAGUCAGCAGAUCUCACUCUGACAAACUUCAGAAGCAGAGGAUCUAAGUGACUUAGCACAAUCAAGCUGACACCUGUGAUUGGCUCUGCUGUCUCAUGAGUACCUGUGAAAGUCUCCAGCAUUGCCGAGGGUAAGGAAAACAACUCAGAUCUGGCUUUAGUGGUGAGGCUGGAGCUCAGUCAAGCAGGGUGAUGCAUAGAUGAGUUUGUGAAGUCCAGGAAAAAAAUGAAUACCUGCCCCUUCCAGAAGUCGUCUAGCUCUAGUUUCCAAGAAGCCUCAUGGGAAGAUAUUUUCUGUGUUUCUCUUGAGGUCUCAUGUUUCUCCUCCCUGUUCUUUUGUUUGUUUUUACUUCUGUUAAAGCCUUUUGUAGACAAUCAGAGGUCUGCUGGGAGACUCCAUCCUGGCUAGUAUCACCAUGCAUAGGCCUCUUUCUUAUACUAAAUCAUUGGAAUUGAUGCACUUUUCCUGUAUUUUGCCUUUUUAAAUUAGCUGCUUGUUCUUCAACCAACCAACCAACAACAAAACCCAAUUUAAAUGCAUAUUGUGUUUGUGUCCUUCCUGCUUGCUUUUUUUCAUUUUUUAUAUAAUAUAUGCAUUGAGAGUGAAAUAUGAAAUGGAGAAGAAAUAUGCACAAGAAAAUAUGCCUAUCUAUUCCCAUCUUUUUUGAUAGGUAUAGCAAUUUAAUCAAAAAGGUUUUUAAAAAUAUUUUGGAUGAAUAUUUUGCUUCUUUCUCUGUAAAUAAGAGUGUACAGAAGUUUGUGGUAUAUUAUGACAGUUUUAAGUGGUUGCAAGAAAAUUAAAAAACAAAACAAAAAACA